UACGAAGGGGGCGAGCGUUGUUCGGAAUUACUGGGCGUAAAGGGCGCGCAGGCGGCGAGACAAGUCAGGCGUGAAAGCCCCGGGCUUAACCUGGGAAUUGCGCUUGGGACUGUCUGGCUUGAGUUCGGGAGAGGAGAGUGGAAUUCCCAGUGUAGAGGUGAAAUUCGUAGAUAUUGGGAAGAACACCGGUGGCGAAGGCGGCUCUCUGGACCGAUACUGACGCUGAGGCGCGAAAGCGUGGGGAGCAAACAGG
RNAcentral lists this ribosomal RNA (253 nucleotides) under uncultured bacterium. RNAcentral's name for it is "partial 16S ribosomal RNA". It matches the Rfam family "Bacterial small subunit ribosomal RNA", at positions 524 to 776 of the family's 1533-position model. The record is from RNAcentral.